RNAcentral lists this ribosomal RNA (253 nucleotides) under uncultured bacterium. RNAcentral describes it as "partial 16S ribosomal RNA". It matches the Rfam family "Bacterial small subunit ribosomal RNA", at positions 524 to 776 of the family's 1533-position model. The record is from RNAcentral.
UACAGAGGGGGCAAGCGUUGUUCGGAAUUACUGGGCGUAAAGGGCGCGUAGGCGGCCUUCUAAGUCGAACGUGAAAUCCCCGGGCUCAACCCGGGAACUGCGUCCGAUACUGGAAGGCUUGAAUCCGGGAGAGGGAUGCGGAAUUCCAGGUGUAGCGGUGAAAUGCGUAGAUAUCGGGAGGAACACCAGUGGCGAAGGCGACUUCCUGGCCUGUUCUUGACGCUGAGGCGCGAAAGCUAGGGGAGCAAACGGG